UUGCAAUUCUGGGAGCUGUAAUGCUACAGAUUUCUCAAGGUUUUUCAAGACUAGGUGCCCUGAUGCUUAUAGCUACCCUAAGGACGAUCAGACAAGCACCUUCACAUGCCCUGGCGGUACCAAUUAUGAAGUUAUCUUCUGCCCAUCAGCAGUGCCACAAACAUGUGUUUUUAUUAUAAAUUAAUUUGUGGUAAAAAAAACAUUUUGUGUUACAAGAUUUUUUUUCCACAAAAAAAUAUUUCCGACCAGUUUGUUGCUACAAAUUCGUAAACAAUUAUUUUUAAUCACAAAAUUUAAUUUUAUAAUAAAAUAAAUAAUUUUUUCAUAAAAUAAAUUUUAUAACAAAAUAUCAAUAUUCACCAUUAAAUAAAAUUUAUGAUAAAAUGUCAUUUUUCACCGUAAAAUAAAAUUUGUGACAACACAUCGUUUUUCAUGAAAAUAAUUACGAUAAUAUGCGACUUUUUUGUUAUAAAAAAAUUCAUGAUAAAAAAUUACCCUUCUACCAAAAAACAUUAAUUGUAACGGUCCAAACCACUGGUCUUGACAAGGAAAUAUGACAUACAGUCAAGGAGGGUUUGCUUAAAAGUCAUUAUCCUACUUGGAAACUACCUCCCUUAUUGGGGUACAUGGCAUUUUUUUAAUAAUAUUUGACUCACUUUUCCGGGAAACCUAGUUGUAGAAGUCCAAACAGGUUGCUUUUCAGGGGAAUUCACGGCAUAAAUAGAAAAGAAAGUUGCCAGAAAUGCCCUAACUGAUUAAAAUCAUUACCUUUAAUUGCAGAGAAUUAUGUCUAUCAAUUAAAUAAAUUAUAAAUAUAUGUUUGAAUUGAUUUUUAAGAAAUUGAAUGGUUUUUUAAGUUCAAUAAGAAUUUUAAUAUUGAUUUAACUAAUUUUAUUUAAAAAGCUUAUGAUUUAAAAAAUAGUUUUAUAUGAUUUAGAUAAGAAAUUAUUUAAUAUUUAAUAUAAGUUUUAUAAUACUAAUAUUAUGUAUUAAAAAUUAUGAUUUUGGUUGGACUCUCAACAUUUAGUUAAAUCUAAAAGUAGAAAACUAUUUCAAACAAAGUCAUGUUUUCUAUUUCAUUAUUAAUUAAUAUAUAUUUUUUUUAAUUCGGAUGUGAAAAGGUGUUUCAAAGUUUAAGAUUGUCUAAUAUUUUAAAUCAAAAUCUCAAUACUUAAAUUAAAGAAAAAUUUAGAUCGUAUUUAUUUGUUUAAUUGAAUAGAAAAAAUUAAAAUAUUUAAUUUUUUUAAUUUUAAUUAAAAGUAAUCUAUUUAUAUUAAUCAAUAUAACGAAAUCGAAUAUAUUGAUAAUAAAUUUACUUUAAAUAUCUUAAUUGAUAUUAAUAUAUUACUUGAACUGAAAAAACUAAAAAGCAAAAAAUAAACUCCACACUUAAAAAGAUUCUGGGCCAUGGAUACAGAAGCCCAAAAGAUUUAUUGAUGGGGGCAGUGGGCCUGGCCUGCCGUGUGCAGCUGCAUUUGUUUGACUUGUCCUCAAGCCUAGUCAACGUCUCCGUUCAAUGAAGCUGAUGUAUCGAAAAAUCCCAAAAAGCCUCAUUUUUCCCGCCAAACGCGUAAACCCCAAAAUGAGUUUCUUCUGCAACUGCAGCAAUCUCUCUACUUCCUUCUUCCUCCUCAUCUUCAUCAAUGCAACCAUUUUCGAAAUCCGAAACAGCUGCCCCUAUACCGUCUGGGCAGCCGCCUUACCCGGCGGCGGAAGGUAACUCGACCAAGGCCAGACCCGGAACCUUUCAGUGAGCUCCAACACAACCCAAGGCCACAUCUGGGGCAGAACCAAGUGCAGUUUCGAUGAAGCCGGAAGGGGGAACUGCGAGUCCGGUGGAUGUGGAGGCCUCCUUGAAUGCCAAGAAUAUGGUUCACCGCCCAACACCAUUGCCGAGUACGCCAUAAACCAAUUCAACAAAACUGAUUUCUUCGAUAUUUCUCUGGUGGUUGGAUUCAACCUUCCAAUGGAGUUUAGCCCAACUUCUGAUGGGUGCAAACGUGGGGUCAAGCGUACGUGCGACAUUAACGGGCCGUGCCCAAACGAGUUGAGGGACCCGGGUGGGUGUAACAACCCAUGUACCGUUUUCAACAAUACUCAGUACUGUUGCAAUACCGGGAGCUGUUAGCCUACACCUUCAUGUUUUUCAAGGCUAGCUGCCCAGAUGUAUACAGUUACCCUUUGGGAGAUGAUUCAAUCGGUACGUUUACCUGCGCCGCAUGCACUAACUAUCGUAUAGUCUUCUCCGAGUUUUGGGGUAGCCCAAAGUUUAAACCUUUUUGCAAAACUUACAAUCAAACUCGUCCUUUUUAUUAUCACCUAGAGUCAUAUUAUGUUUUUUUUUUCAAAAUUUAAGUUGAAAAUUUUAUUUUUGAAUUGAAGCCAUAAUUAAUAACCAAGACUUCAUUUUGAACGGAAACCUCAUUUGAUAAGUGAGACUUAGUUUUUUAAUUAAAACCUCAUUUUGACAAUUAAAACUUCAUUUAUUAAACUAAAACCUUAAUUGUGACUUUAGUUAUUUUUUUUACUUUAAAAUUUAAUUAAAAAUAUUAAAUUUCAAAUUAUUAUUGAAAUUAAAAAUAUUUACUUUAAUAAUAAAAAAUUAUAUAUUUAAGUUUAAGGAUUCAACAUUAUUCUAAUAAAGAUAAAUUGAUAAAUAAAAUAAAUAAAUGAAUAAUUUUAUUUAUCAAUAAAUUAAUAAUUUUAAAAUAAUAAAGUUAUAUAAUAUAUAAAUAAAAUAUAAAAUUAUAUAAUUUAUUAAUUUAAGUUAUAUUACAAAUACUAUAUGUUACCGGGCAACUAAAAAGGAAGAAAGUUAUGUAUAGGUUCUCUCUUUGUAAAGACACGUAAGAUUAUAUAAUUUUCUUUUUUACUAUAUGAAUAUUUAGUAAACAAUUUUUGUGACAUAGAUGAAACUACUAAAACUUAUAUUUUGUAGUAAACAUUUUUUAAUUAAUUUUAUUAGCUAAUUUUAAAAUGUAUCUUCAAGGCAUAUAUGUUGUGGGUAUAAAUAAUAAUUUUUUUUUAAUGAAAAAUUAUAAACAUAUACUUUAAAAUAAUAAUAAAAUCUAUAUAUAAAAGCUUAAGAAUAUACUAUUAUUUUAAUAAAGAUAAAUUUGUGAAAAUACAAAUAAAUUAAUAUCUUAAAAAUAAAACAAAUUAAAUAUCUUAAAUUAAUAAAUUAUAUAAUUUUAUAUCUUAUUAUAUUUAUCAAUUUAUCUUUAAACCUAAGUCCUAAGUCCAAGGUUUAAAUAUUUUAUUAUAUUUAUUAAUUUAUCUUUAUUGAAGUAAUACUAGAUUUUUAAGUUUAAACAUAUAAUUAAUUUAUUAUUAAAGUAUAUAUUUUUAAUUUCAACAAUAAUUUAUAAUUUAAUAUUUUAAUUAAAUUUUAAAGUAAAAAAAUAAUUAAUUGAAGCUUCAAUUGAAAAUUAAGACUUUAAUAAAAAAAUGAAGUCUCAAUUAUCAAUUGUGAAUUCAAUUUAAAAAUGAGGUAUGAUUUGACAAUUAAGGUUUCAGUUUAUAAAUGAAACCUUAAUUGUCAAUUGUGGUUUUAGUUCAAAAAUAAACCCUCAAUUGAUAAUUGAGGUUUUACUUAAAUUUUAAAAUAUAUAUAUAUUAUGAUACGACUCUUAUGUGACAAUAAAGGACUAGUUUGAACAUAAAUUUUAUAAAAAUGUUAAAUCUUACAUUUCUUUUUAUACAAGCUUAUUUAUUUUUGUUUCUUAAAAAAAAAAAAAUUAUCAGCUUCCCUUGAUAAGAUUUGAGGAAAAACAAAGAUGAGGUAGGAUUGGCUCUUCCAUGCCUCUAAGUCGAGCACCAUCUUUUAGAUUUUAACAAAGCUUAUUGCUAAAAUAUUUUCAUUUAGGGUCAUUAACUUUAACUUAGGGUUCAUCGAGGAACUUUUUCAGAAAUAAUUCUUAAAAAGUAAUUCUCAAGAAUAACUUUUAAAAAUAAUAUUUUAAUAUUUUUAAAAUAAAAAGUUUUGAAGAGCUUAGAAUAUUGUCAAUUUUUUUUUAUAUUUUUAAAUAUUUCUUAAAAAUAAUUCCUAUUUAUAAUACCUUAUUUUAAGACAUUCUUCGUGUUUAUUCAAUAAUUCCUAAAAAGUAAUUAAAAUAUAAUAUAUGUAAAAAAAAUCACUUUUCAUAGUUUUAGUUUUAAAUUUAUAAUUAACAAUCGAAUGUGUUUUUAUACUUUUUUUAUUCUAAAAACCAAAAAGAUAAAUCCUUAAUAGAAAUUUUCAAACAUUGUUUUAGUGUCCCACCCCAAGUCCACCUUCGCUCUAUAUAAACUCCUAGCCAUUUCCUCACGGACCACCCCAAACCAUAAAGCCCAUCUUCCUGAAAAAAUGGGCCUCUUCAAAACCCCUUUAAUUUCCUCAUUCCUUCUCACCACCCUAUUCUUCGCCUCCUGCCACGCAGCCACGCUGAUCAACAUCCAAAACCAUUGCUCCUACACAGUUUGGGCGGCGGCGGUACCAGGUGGGGGCAGGCAGCUUGGUCCGGGCCAAUCCUGGAGCCUCGAUGCGAACCCUGGCACAGCCCGUGUGUGGGCACGUACCAACUGCACCUUUGAUGGGUCAGGGAACGGGACGUGUGAGACCCGAGAUUGUGGUGGCCGCCUCCAAUGCCAAGCCUAUGGUACACCCCCUAACACCUUGGCCGAAUUCGCACUUAACCAAUUCAACAACAUGGACUUCUUCGAUAUAUCUUUGGUUGAUGGAUUUAAUGUGCCCAUGGCUCUUAAUUCUACUUCCAAUGGGUGCACCCGUGGCAUCCAAUGCAGCGCCGACAUAGUCGGACAGUGCCCUGAUGAGCUCCGAGCUCCCGGUGGUUGCAACAAUCCAUGCACUGUUUUCAGGACCGAUGAAUAUUGUUGUUAUUCUGGGAACUGUGGCCCUACAACUUACUCCAAGUUUUUCAAGGAUAGGUGUCCGGUGGCUUAUAGCAACCCUAAUGAUGAUCAAACAAGCACCUUUACAUGCCCUGGUGGUACUAACUAUGAUGUUAUCUUCUGCCCAUGAUGCCUCUACUAGUCCUGUUAGACGAUUUGGUACCAUCUUGGGAUCCAAAUGUCUAGAAGAAUAAAUUUGAGCACAUGUCCAUGUCCAUAGUCAUGUAAUAAGAUUUCUACCAUCAUAGAAAUCGAAUGAUUUUCAGAGGGGUUAGAAGCUUUGAAUAAUGUUUAAAUGUGCUUUACUUAUAAAAGUUUAGAACUAAUUCUUCAUAAAAAUAAUUUUGUCCAAGUGUUAUUGUUUAAGAGUUUAUUUGAUAUUGAAUUAUGAAAGUAUUUUGAAUUAUUUUAACAUUUAAAAAAUAAUUUUUCUUUAAAUAUUAAAAAAUUUAAAAAUGCUUCUUAUAAUUAUUAUCAAAUAAACUCUAAAUACUAUAUAUUAAAAACAUAAUUACUAGAAUGACCUCUAAAUGAAUUCAUAUUUUAAGUACACCGAGAAUGAUAGAAUUCAGUAAUGGUGUUUUAAAUUAAAUUGGUAAAUAUUUUGGGAUUUUCCAUUUGAAUAAUUUUUAGAAGUGAAUAAAUUAUUUUUCAGCUCUAACAUAAACAAAUCCUGUUAUUGUGGUGUGGAAAAACCUUUGCUCAAGAGUCAAGAGCGGUGGUGGAGGCUUGAGUUACGUACCCAAGUUGAAUUUUUGUAAAAGGAUGUGGAGGAGUAGAGUACAAGGAAAAUUGAUUUGCGGACAAGACCAGUUAGUUAGUGAAGCUUGAUUAAAGUCGAAGUUUUGGUGUUUUCUCCCAAGACUUCCUUUGUAGUGGUCCAAAAAAUUGGUAAGGAAAUAUGACAGACAUCGAAAGAGGAUUUGGCUAAAAGUCAAUAACUAUUUGGAGCUAUGUUCCCUUCUCGGGGCGAUGGCGUUUGCUAGUAAUCUUUGACUCGCUCUUCCCCGUAGCUUCCAUAGCAGUCCAAACCGGUUGCUUGUUCAAGGAAAACACCGUAUAAAUAAGAGGGAAGUGGCUAAAAGUCUAACUAAUUAAAAUCGUAGUCAUUUAUUGUGUGGAAUAGCGGGACACAUACGUAUUGAAGUUGAACUUGUCCAUCAAUUAAAUCUAAUACAAUUUUCUUUUUCAAUCCAACUAUUACGUAAUAAAUUUUAAAUUUCAAAUAUAUUUGCUUUUAAAAUUUACUCAAACCAAUUUAAUAACUUACAAAUAACUAAUUCAAUAACUUGGACUUCUUUAAUAUAGUAUUGUCCAAGCAUAUAUUUGAUAUGUCUUUAAUUUAUUUUUAAUUGUGCUUCUAAGCUACGUUUGGUUCUCGAAAAAUUUGAGAGAAAAUUUAAAAGAAAAAAAUUACAGAUGAAAAAAAAUAAAAAAUAGUUUAAAUAUAAUAAAUUAUAUUUGAUUUGAUUUUCUAUUUUUUUUUAUAGUGAAACAAAAUAUGAGAAAACCAUUUUUAUUAAUAUUUUUUUUCUUUAGAACACUUUCCAACAUAACUUACCAUUUAUUUUUUUGGUCAUGCAAAAGUUGAUGUAAAAAAUAUAGUUAGUCUCUCUUAUAUCAUUCAUUUGAAAUUGAGUAGAUUAAUGGUGUUUGUUUUUUUGGUUUUUUACUUAAAGCAAUUUAGUUUUAGAAUUUAGGUUGUUUGUUUUUCUACUUUUUCAUGACUUAUUAUAAACUUUUUACUAAAUAGAAAAAGUCAAAAUAUGUAGCUUUUUCUAAGUAGGAAAAAUAACAUAUUGAUUUUUUUUACUUUUUAAUACUUAAUAGAAAUAAAAUACUACAAAAACAAAUAACCUAAUAUUUAACACUAUUAAGCAUUAAGGUUCUAUUUAGAAUUAAGUAAAAAAACAAACAUCAUCUUCACACUAAGUAAUAACCCUAUAUUAGUCCUAAUAAGUAAUAAAAUUCCUCUACUAAUACAUGGUAUGGAUAAAAUAUUUACUAAAUUAACAACAUGAAUGUAAGUAAUUUAGAUAUUAGUAGGAUAUAUUUUUGUCUUAAUUAUUUAAAAAUAUAAACAUAUUUAUAUUAGGUUCUUGCUUUUUAUAAAUAUUAAUUCAACAUUUUUAGUAAUUUUUUUUUUAAAUUUAAUAAUUACAUAACCAAAAGUAAAAAAAAAAAAAAAUCAUUUUAUGAUGAUUUUUUGUCAAUUUUCAAUGAUUUCUUUCUAGUUCUUUGUUUUCAGUAGGUUAUUGAGUUAAUAAAGAAAUAAUGAAAUAUAAUGUGAUUGGGUUUUGGGUAUUUUUUUUUUUUAUAAUUUGUUUAAAAAAAAUUAGAUAAUAAAAAUAUCAUAUAUAUAUAUUUUGUUAUAAAAUUUUUAAAAGGAAAAAAAUUGUUGCUAAAUAUGAUUUUCAAAAACAUUUAUCACAAUUUUAAUUCAAAAAAUUGAAAAAUAAAAGUGUAAUGGAAGAUACUACUAAUGUAGUACAAGCAAUAAAUAUUUUUACCCUUAGUUGUGAAAAAUAUAGAGGAAAGAAAUUUUAUGAUGUCUGUUUCUAGAAGGUUGUAGGAAACCUGUUUGCCACGCCAGCCUAUUAAUAUUUUCUUCUUCGAAAAUUAAGAAAUUAUGGCAUUUUUUUAAAAAAAAAUUAUGCUUAAAAAUAGUUUUUUAUUUAGAAUAUAAAACUUAAAUUUAAAGAAAUUGAGAAUAUAUUCUAAAACUGAAUUAUCUUUUAGAAUAAAUUUAAGGGUUUUUUUUUAUUAUGUUCUAUUAAAUAAUAAUUAUUAAAAAUAUGAAAAUUAUUUUUUUUUAAAAAUAUAUUAUAUAUGUGUAUGUCAACUUUAAGAAAAAUAAAUAAAUAAAUAAAUAUAUAUAUAUAUAUAUAUAUAUAUAUUUUAUGUCUGAGAUUUUAAACAAAAUUUUAUUUAUAAAAAUAAUUAAAAAUUAUGUUUUGCCUAACAUGCCUAUGUUCUAGUCGUCUACGGAGUUGGUUCGGGAUGGCAGUGGAAAAUAUACUUUAGAUAUUUUCUCUUCUCUAUAGUCAGAUGCUUCUGCGUAUUUUAAAUGGUAAAGACCAAAACUCAAUUAUGAUAUUAUCGAAAAUAGACCCAGUCCAAAGUGGUCAUUCAUACUGGCAUAGUUCCAGGAAGGUGAUCAACAUCAGGGCUGUCUCAUUCAAGAAAGGAAAUUUGCACCCACGUUUUCUAGAUACAUUCCUACUGUUCUGAUGAUUCGGUAUGCACGAAUUUAUGCAAAGGUUAGGCAGAUUUCUGAAAAUAAUAAAAAUGGUAAUGAAGUGGACCCUUCUCUCUGUAAAAUAUUUUAAAUAAAAAAUACUUAUUUUUCUAAAAAUAAGUAUUUUCAAUAUGUAAUAUAUGUUUUAAAAAAAAAAAUUAAUUUACAAGCUUAUUUAUUUUUAUUUCUUAAAAAUAUUAUCGGCUUUUGUUGAUAAGAUUUGAGGAAAGAAAAAGGGCCACCUCACAUCGACUCUUCCAUGCCCGCAGGCCCCAACGAAGUCGACCACAAAGAUGACGCUAUCUUUUGGAAUUUUUACAGGGAGGUUUUUUCACAUACACACCAACCCAAGCCCACCUUCACCCUAUAAAAACCCCCACCCGGUUCCUCACAGAUCACCCCACUCCAACCAUCAAGCCUAUAUAUCUUCCGAAACUCAACAAUGGGCCUCUGCAAAAUCCUCUCCAUUUCCUCAUUCCUUCUCACCACCCUAUUCUUCACCUCCAGCUAUGCAGCUACGUUCAACAUCCAAAACCAUUGCUCCUACACGGUUUGGGCUGCGGCAGUCCCAGGCGGGGGCAUGCAGCUUGGCUCAGGCCAAUCCUGGAGCCUCAAUGUGAAUGCCGGCACCACUGGAGGCCGUGUUUGGGCCCGUACCAACUGCAACUUCGAUGCGUCAGGGAAUGGGAAGUGUGAGACCGGGGACUGUGGUGGCCUCCUCCAAUGCACGGCCUAUGGUACACCCCCUAACACCUUAGCCGAAUUCGCACUUAACCAAUACAGCAACUUGGACUUCUUUGAUAUAUCUUUGGUUGAUGGAUUUAAUGUUGCUAUGGCCUUUAAUCCUACUUCCAAUGGGUGCACCCGUGGCAUCAGUUGCACCGCCGACAUCGUGGGAGAGUGCCCCGCUGCGCUAAAGACUACCGGUGGUUGCAACAACCCAUGCACCGUUUUCAAGACCGAUGAAUAUUGUUGCAAUUCUGGGAGCUGUAAUGCUACAACUUACUCCGAGUUUUUCAAGACUAGGUGCCCUGAUGCUUAUAGCUACCCUAAGGACGAUCAGACAAGCACCUUCACAUGCCCUUCCGGGACCAAUUAUGAAGUUAUCUUCUGCCCAUAAAUCUAUUAUUUAAAUCAUAUGCUAGUAUGCCUCUACUGGUCUCAACUAUUAGGAGGCAAUGGUAUCCACCUUGGGUUCCAAAAGCCUAGAGGAAUAAAGUUGAGCCCAUAUUCGUGGUCAUGUAUUAAGAUUUCUACACUAGUCGAAGCAAUGGAUGCCUUUUUUUAUAUAGAUAUAUGCUAUCUUCUUCUUCUAAUCUCUGUGGUCCCUUCCAAGUAACAUUUCAUAUAGAUAUAUGAAUUUUAAUGAUUAUUCUUCUUCAGAAUUCUUUUUUUUUUUUUUUUUGAAAAUGAAAUUAAGCUUAACAUGAACAAAAUUCUGCUAUCAUGGUACGGAGAAAUCUUUGCUUGAGAGCGGUGGUUGAGGAUUGAGUCACCUACCCAAGUCAAAUUUUUGUAACAAUUAGAUGUUCAUCUUUAGAGUACUACAAGGAAAAUUGAUGUGAGGAUAAAGACCAGUUAACGAAGCUUGACUGACGUCAAAAUUUUAUUUUAUUUCCUUUUCUCUAAUCCUACCUUGUAGCGGUCCAAAUUAAUUGUCUUGACAAGGAAAUAUAACACAUAGCCAAGGAGGAUUUGCCUAAAAGCCAUCAUCCUGUUUGAAAACUACCUCCCUUAUUGUGCACAUGACACUUUUUCUAAGGGGAAUAAUCCAACCAUACAUUGGACCAAUAAAAUAAGUAUUUUUGGGAUUUUAUUUUUACCUUCACAAAUUGAGUGCGUAAAGUGCGGGGGAAAAAAACUCAUUCAUGCAUUUCAAUAACACUUGUGAAUUUAUUCCAAAAUUACAUUCAAAGUACACCUAUCAUUUUUUUUUACAUCAACUCUCUCACACCUCCAUUUCACCCGCCAUGUUCAUACGGUUUUUUUAUCUCUCACCAACAUAUUCAUAGUCUCAUGUAUUUUCUUAUAAAACAUCUUUAAUUUCAAUUUUUUUUUCACUCUCUAAUCUCUCCAUAUUUAUUGAUUUUAAUCAUUUUUUAGACACAUUAAACUUAAAAUGAUAAUAUAUAAUAAAUAAUUAAUAAUAAAAAAUUAAAUAAAAACAUAAUAUUUAAUGAACAAAAAUUAAAAUAUUAUCUCACAAAUAAUAUACUUGAUAAUUUUAAAUAUUAAUUAUAAUAAUGUUUAAGAUUUAAAUUUAAAAAUUAUGUUUUUAUUAUUUAGAGGCUUAUGAUAUAAUUUUUUUUAUAUUAAUACUAAAUAAAAGAUUUAUUGAUUUUGUAAAUCUUAUCAUACGUAAAAGUAAAAAAUAUCUUUGUAAUAUUAUUUUAUUAUUUUUAUUUUGAUAUAAAAUUUUUCAUUUGUAAUAUUAUUUUAUUAUUUUUAUUUUGAUAUAAAAUUUUUCAUAUCAAAAUCACAAUAAGUGAUAGUAGUUUUUUUUUUGUUAUGGUUUUAAUUGUGGUUUUAACUUUUUACUUGGUUAAAUUUUUUAAUUUUUUAUCAAGAUAAAAUAUAAAAGAAAAUAUGUUUUUUCAUAAAAAAAAAAUACAUUGUUUUAGGGAAAUUGAGAUACUUAUCUCUUUUAUCAUGAUGCAUAUACUCCUUUUGGAAUUCUCGGGAAGUGUUUUUAAAUUCUCUCCCACCUCGAAAAAGACUUUGAAACUUCAAGUAAGAAAAAUAAAUACAUCCUUUAAGAAAAAUGGAUUUUCUUUGAAUUGGUUGCCUCACAAUAUUUUAAAUGAUAAAGACUAAAAUUCAAUUAUGAUAUUAUCGAAAAUAGUCCCAAUCUAACGACUAGUCAAGAUAUUUGAAGUGGCCAAUCGUAUUGGAAGAAUUCCAGGAAGGUGCUCAACAGGGUUGUCUCAUUCAAAUAAGGAAAUUUGAAAUAAAUUUUCUCAAUACCAUGCACCCACGUUUUCUAGAUACAUUCCUACUGUUCUCAGAAUUGAGUGCUCAUGAAUUUACAUAGAAGUUAGGCAGAUUUCUGGAAAUAAUAAAAAUGAUAAUCACGUAGAACCUUGUCUCUGUAAAUUAUUUUAAAUAAAAAAUACUUAUUUUUCUAAAAAUAAGUAUUUUCAAAAUGUAAUAUAUGUUUUUUUUUUUUUUAAAUAAUAAUAAUUUACAAGCUUUUUUAUUUUUAUUUCUUAAAAAAAUUAUGGGCUUUUGUUGAUAAGAUUUGAGGAAAAACAAAAAGGGCCACACUACAUUGACUCUUCCAUGCCUACAGGCCACAACGAAGUCGACCACAAAGAUGACGCCAUCUUUUGGAAUUUUUACAGGACGGUUUUUCCACAUACACACCAACCCAAGCCCACCUUCACCCUAUAUAAACCCCCACCCAUUUCCUCACAGAUCACCCCACUCCAACCAUCAAGCCUAUCUUCCGAUCCUCAACAAUGGGCCUCUGCAAAAUCCUCUCCAUUUCCUCAUUCCUUCUCACCGCCCUAUUCUUCACCCCCAGCUAUGCAGCCACCUUCAACAUCCAAAACCAUUGCUCCUACACGGUUUGGGCUGCGGCAGUCCCAGGCGGGGGCAUGCAGCUUGGCUCAGGCCAAUCCUGGAGCCUCAAUGUGAAUGCCGGCACCACUGGAGGCCGUGUUUGGGCCCGUACCAACUGCAACUUCGAUGCAUCAGGGAAUGGGAAGUGUGAGACCGGGGACUGUGGUGGCCUCCUCCAAUGCACGGCCUAUGGUACACCCCCUAACACCUUAGCCGAAUUCGCACUUAACCAAUUCAGCAACUUGGACUUCUUUGAUAUAUCUUUGGUUGAUGGAUUUAAUGUGCCUAUGGCCUUUAAUCCUACUUCCAAUGGGUGCACCCGUGGCAUCAGUUGCACCGCCGACAUCGUGGGAGAGUGCCCCGCUGCGCUAAAGACUACCGGUGGUUGCAACAACCCAUGCACCGUUUUCAAGACCGAUGAAUAUUGUUGCAAUUCUGGGAGCUGUAGUGCUACAGAUUACUCAAGGUUUUUCAAGACUAGGUGCCCUGAUGCUUAUAGCUACCCUAAGGACGAUCAGACAAGCACCUUCACAUGCACUGCCGGUACCAAUUAUGAAGUUGUCUUCUGCCCAUAAAUCUAUUAUUUAAAUCAUAUGCUAGUAUGCCUCUACUAGUCUCAACUAUUAGGAGGCAAUGGUUUCCACCUUGGGUUCCAAAAGCCUAGAGGAAUAAAGUUGGGCACAUUUUCGUGGUCAUGUAACAAGAUUUCUACACUAGUAGAAGUAAUGGAUGUUUUUUUUUUUUAUAUAUAUAUAUAUAUAUAUAGAUUUAUGCGAUCUUCUUUCUUUCUAACCUCUAUGGUCCCGUCCAAGUAAUAUUUCAUAUAUAUUUUAUUCUAUAUAAUAUCUGCGGAUAAGAUCGGUUAAUGAAGCUUGACUAAAGUCAAAAUUUUAUUUUAUUUCAUUAUCCUACUU
RNAcentral lists this long non-coding RNA (12603 nucleotides) under Vitis vinifera (wine grape). RNAcentral describes it as "long non-coding RNA (VVIN_LNC000377)". Lineage: Eukaryota; Viridiplantae; Streptophyta; Magnoliopsida; Vitales; Vitaceae. The record is from RNAcentral.